This 575-nucleotide ribosomal RNA is filed under the name uncultured bacterium. RNAcentral's name for it is "partial 16S ribosomal RNA". It matches the Rfam family "Bacterial small subunit ribosomal RNA", at positions 355 to 923 of the family's 1533-position model. The record is from RNAcentral.
UGGGGAAUUUUGGACAAUGGGCGAAAGCCUGAUCCAGCAAUGCCGCGUGUGUGAAGAAGGCCUUCGGGUUGUAAAGCACUUUUGUCCGGAAAGAAAUCCUUGGCUCUAAUACAGUCGGGGGAUGACGGUACCCGGAAGAAUAAGCACCGGCUAACUACGUGCCAGCAGCCGCGGUAAUACGUAGGGUGCAAGCGUUAAUCGGAAUUACUGGGCGUAAAGCGUGCGCAGGCGGUUUGCUAAGACCGAUGUGAAAUCCCCGGGCUCAACCUGGGAACUGCAUUGGUGACUGGCAGGCUAGAGUAUGGCAGAGGGGGGUAGAAUUCCACGUGUAGCAGUGAAAUGCGUAGAGAUGUGGAGGAAUACCGAUGGCGAAGGCAGCUCCCUGGGCCAAUAUGACGCUCAUGCACGAAAGCGUGGGGAGCAAACAGGAUUAGAUACCCUGGUAGUCCACGCCCUAAACGAUGUCAACUAGUUGUUGGGGAUUCAUUUCCUUAGUAACGUAGCUAACGCGUGAAGUUGACCGCCUGGGGAGUACGGUCGCAAGAUUAAAACUCAAAGGAAUUGACGGGGUCAUA